Molecule: long non-coding RNA, 528 nt
Organism: Amphibalanus amphitrite
Lineage: Eukaryota; Metazoa; Arthropoda; Thecostraca; Balanomorpha; Balanidae
Exons: 4
Source: RefSeq, a predicted model, not a curated record
GGCAGUUGGCCGCCAGCCGCCGCCCGGAGUGAGGGUGUCCGGAGGGACCCCGUCCGCCCCGAGCAGCACGGUGAGCCAUGGCACUGCCGGAGCACCCCGUCACAGCAGCAGCGGAGACGGCGGUAUCGCAGCCCCCGUGUAUCGUCGGCGACUGCACUGGCGGCGGCGGCAGGGAGUCGGAUGGCCGCGGCUGGGUGACCUGACCCGACCAGCGGACUGCAGAGCGCCGCCUCAGGAUACGGGCUCACCACACGUCAGCCCUGCACUGCGCGUCUGCCGUCGGCGGCGGACGACCCCCACCGGACGACCCAUCCGGCCCAGCGCCGCGACGCGAAUCUGGCCGCGGCGGGACGGCGGAGCAGACGACAGGGAGGCCCCACUGACGACCGGAGCUGACCAAGCCGCCCGCGGAGGAGAUCCCUCGGAGACCGGCCGGGACUCACCUGUGACGGCAUCAUGGUUCCGUGCGGCACCGGCUGGCCGGGCGGCGCGUGCGGGGACGACUGUGACGACGGGUGAGACUGCGGC